GAUGAACGCUAGCGACAGGCUUAACACAUGCAAGUCGAGGGGCAGCACAGGGCAGCAAUGUUUGGGUGGCGACCGGCGCACGGGUGCGUAACGCGUAUGCAACUAACCCAUCAGACCGGGAUAGCCCGGCGAAAGUCGGAUUAAUACCGGAUGCAACAGGGGUCUCGCAUGGGGCUUAUGUUAAAGGAUUAAUUGCUGAUAGAUGGGCAUGCGUUCCAUUAGGCAGUUGGUGAGGUAACGGCUCACCAAACCUACGAUGGAUAGGGGAACUGAGAGGUUGGUCCCCCACACUGGUACUGAGACACGGACCAGACUCCUACGGGAGGCAGCAGUGAGGAAUAUUGGUCAAUGGGCGAGAGCCUGAACCAGCCAAGUCGCGUGCAGGAGGACGGCGCUAUGCGUUGUAAACUGCUUUUACAGAGGAAUAAAGGCGUGGACGUGUCCAUGUUUGUAUGUACUUUGUGAAUAAGGAUCGGCUAACUCCGUGCCAGCAGCCGCGGUAAUACGGAGGAUUCGAGCGUUAUCCGGAUUUAUUGGGUUUAAAGGGUGCGUAGGUGGGAUAGUAAGUCAGUGGUGAAAGGUUGUCGCUCAACGAUAAGACUGCCAUUGAAACUGUUGUUCUUGAGUAUAAACGAAGUAGGCGGAAUGCGCGGUGUAGCGGUGAAAUGCAUAGAGAUCGCGCCGAACUCCGAUUGCGAAGGCAGCUUACUAGGCUAUUACUGACACUGAAGCACGAAAGCGUGGGUAUCAAACAGGAUUAGAUACCCUGGUAGUCCACGCAGUAAACGAUGAUUACUAAAGGUUUGCGAUAAACAGUAAGUCUUAAAGCGAAAGCGUUAAGUAAUCCACCUGGGGAGUACGCCGGCAACGGUGAAACUCAAAGGAAUUGACGGGGGCCCGCACAAGCGGAGGAACAUGUGGUUUAAUUCGAUGAUACGCGAGGAACCUUACCCGGGAUUGAAAUGCGCCUGAAGGCAGGUGAAAGCUUGCCGUCCCGUGAGGGACAGGCGUGUAGGUGCUGCAUGGUUGUCGUCAGCUCGUGCCGUGAGGUGUCGGCUUAAGUGCCAUAACGAGCGCAACCCUGAUUGUCAGUUGCUAACGGGUGAAGCCGAGGACUCUGGCGAGACUGCCGGCGUAAGCUGUGAGGAAGGUUGGGAUGACGUCAAAUCAGCACGGCCCUUACAUCCGGGGCGACACACGUGUUACAAUGGUGGGGACAGUGGGCAGCUACUUAGUGAUAAGAUGCGAAUCUCCAAACCCCAUCUCAGUUCGGAUCGGAGUCUGCAACUCGACUCCGUGAAGCCGGAUUCGCUAGUAAUCGCGCAUCAGCCAUGGCGCGGUGAAUACGUUCCCGGGCCUUGUACACACCGCCCGUCAAGCCAUGGGAGCCGGGGGUACCUGAAGUAUGUAACCGUAAGGAGCGUCCUAGGGUAAAACUGGUGACUGGGGCU
This 1451-nucleotide ribosomal RNA is filed under the name uncultured Bacteroidota bacterium. Its description in RNAcentral is "bacterial SSU rRNA". It matches the Rfam family "Bacterial small subunit ribosomal RNA". The record is from RNAcentral. Lineage: Bacteria; Pseudomonadati; Bacteroidota.